Molecule: long non-coding RNA, 1625 nt
Organism: Syzygium oleosum
Lineage: Eukaryota; Viridiplantae; Streptophyta; Magnoliopsida; Myrtales; Myrtaceae
Exons: 2
Source: RefSeq, a predicted model, not a curated record
AGGAAAGAAUCACAUUAUUUUUAUGCCGGCGACAUCUUAAGCACUAGAUUGGAUUGCUCUUUGAUAGUUGCUUCCAAUGGUCUGGAGUAUACAGUCUGCUUACACCAUUAGAAAUUAAGUCGACAAAGUCACUUACACUCAGUAUACGCCAAUUGUGGCUCUACUGAGAUUUCAGACAGAAAGGUUUCUUGCAUUAAGCCUCUCAUUUGUGUUCGCGGUGGUCUGUUUAUCAUCGACCAGAAAUCAAAACUUGGGUUCAGGUAAAUAGUCUACUACUUCGACUCGCAUUACAAGUUUAGGAUCAUUUAGAACAAGACACUGAGUGUCAAAGUGAAGCAAGCAAAAGAGAUUGAGCUCUUUUGGCUGGAAUUGAUGACCACUUUAGCUGCUUUUCUAGGCAAAGAGUGAGGAGUGAGGGUAACACCUAGAAUGGCAUCUGAGGACAGGAUGGUGAACAAAGGAAAGAGAUAAAGGUAAAGGCAUGGCAUCGCAGAUUACUUGUGCAACCAACAUAAAUACUGCAGAUACUGUGAAAAAGUUGCGGAUAGAGCUUUAGCAUGACAAGGAUGCGGGAACAACUAAAACAAGAGUGAUGCAGUAAUUCAACAAGUCUGAUUCUGAUCAAUGAAAAUUGUAACUGUGCCAGCGAUAGAAAAAUAUCAUUGGAGAUCUACCAAUAAUCACAUUUACUCUAUUUCUUCACCUUUACUUGAUACGAUAAUUCAACCUUUUUACUUUCCCCUAGCUUCAAGUAAAGCACAAAUUGUGAGAAAACAAGGAGCUUCUUCACUAACUAGAUGGUGAUGCGUCCUUUUGCUUUUCAGUCAGUAAUAGUCAAGAUUCUUGCCGUGCGUUCUAGGCAGACAUUUUGUUAUCAGGAAGGUAAACCACCGAGGAUGUUAUGAGCCUUAGCUGCCUGAUUUUGAGUCUUAUACUCUUGUCUUCUAGGCAUAUGCAAAUCCCUUACCACAUCAAUAUAAGUAGGACCAGAGCAUUUGAGAGAGCGCAACUAGCUUACAAAGAACACCUUACUGAGGACGAAUAGUGCAAGAAGUUCCACCGUGAAAGAUCAUGGCUACCGAGAGGUACUUAGCGGCCAUAAGAGGACAAGCAAACAUACUGCCAAGGUUGGAGGAGAGCAACCUCAAGAUGGUGCAUAUCAAGGAACCUCUUGUUGAUUGGCGAGAAUGGACGAUAUUGACAUAUAAUCAAAAUGUCCUGGGUAACUUAUUGAUAAGGGAAAAUAAGCUUCUCCAGAAGAGAAUUGAUGAGUAUGAGAUGAAGCUUAAAAUUCUCACUUCUCCUCCUCCUCCUCCUCCAACAUAUGCUGGUUGGCCUACUUGGAACACUAGCACACCGAGACCUCAAAUAGUCGACCUUGAUAUUGCCGCGUCAUCGAAAGAACACGAGCAAUAAAAAGUUUAUCUGCUAGAACCAUCCACAGAAAAUAAAAUUUCCGAAAGUGCUUUUGGGUAAUUAUGAGUGCAAGUCUGCAAUGGUGUAACAAAUAAACUGAAGAUAGCCGUGAACUUCUAUUUGUGUGUGAUGUGAGGGUGAUGAAAGUGUGCUUCCUUAAUGAUGUAAUCAUGCAUCUGUCUGCAAUAAGAGUGUUUGUGUUAUUGUUA